This is a non-coding RNA of Paramuricea clavata, 1225 nucleotides long. The record is from the annotation of a GenBank genome assembly. Lineage: Eukaryota; Metazoa; Cnidaria; Anthozoa; Malacalcyonacea; Plexauridae.
UUACUUUAAAAGUCCUUGGAUGACUCACGGUAUUUCAAAAUCAGGUGUUUUCAAAUAUUUUCUAUAAAGUUUAUUUUUUUCAGUUACGGUAACUGAAAAAAAUAAACUUUAUAGAAAAUAUUUGAAAACACCUGAUCGGAAAAAUGAAGAAACAUACAAAAAGUACAAGAACAAACUAAAUCACCUAGUCAAACUCGCCAAAAAAAAUUAUUAUGAAAAACAAUUUGUAAAUUAUAAAAACAAUAGUAGAAUGACAUGGAAAACGAUUAACGAAAUUUUAAAUAGAAGGAAUGAAAAAUCCACACUACCGGAUAAAUUCAUAGAAAAAGUUUCCAACAAAGUCUUGACAAAUCCAACUGUUAUCGCAAACAACUUUAAUAAAUAUUUUAUUAAUGUCGGACCUGAGUUAGCUAGACAAAUUCGCAUUGAAAAUAAUGAAAAAUCAUUUGACAGGUAUCUUUCCGGAAGUUAUGUGAAAAGUAUGUUUGUUGAGCCGGUUACUGAGAUUGAAGUAAAAAUUGAAAUAGACAAAUUAAAUCAAAAUAAAAGUGCUGGUUAUGAUGAGCUAAGUGCCAAAAUAAUAAAGUUCAUUGGAAAUGAAAUAUGUAGACCAUUAGCUCAUAUAUUCAAUUUGACAUUUACCACUGGAAUUAUUCCAGACUCUUUAAAAAUAGCAUUAGUAACUCCUGUAUACAAGGCAAAUGAAGACUUUAGAUUUCAAAACUACAGGCCUAUUUCGGUACUAUCAUGUUUUUCAAAAUUAUUGGAAAAAGUAAUGUAUCAAAGAUUGAUAAAAUUUAUUGACGCAAAUGAAAUCUUGUCGAAACACCAAUACAGAUUUAGGAAAAAUAGAUCAACAGAACAUGCAAUUAUUGAAAUUACUGACAAAAUUUCCAAAGCAAUAGAUGAAGGCAAAUACACAAUUGGAAUUUUCCUUGAUCUCUCAAAAGCAUUUGACACAGUCAACCAUGAAAUUCUUAUAAAGAAGUUAGAACAUUAUGGUAUAAGAGGAUUAUGCAUUGAAUGGUUUAAAAGUUAUUUGAAAGAAAGAAAACAAAUAGUAAAAUAUAAAGAAUACAAUUCAUCAGAAAUGACUAUUACUACUGGUGUUCCUCAAGGAUCAAUACUCGGACCUUUGCUCUUUCUGUUAUAUAUCAAUGAUAUUGAAAAUUGUAGUAAUAUUAUAUCAUUUGUCUUGUAUGCAGAUGACACAAAUGCUUUUUAU